RNAcentral lists this ribosomal RNA (888 nucleotides) under Tuber melosporum. Its description in RNAcentral is "partial large subunit ribosomal RNA". It matches the Rfam family "Eukaryotic large subunit ribosomal RNA", at positions 55 to 963 of the family's 3401-position model. The record is from RNAcentral. Lineage: Eukaryota; Fungi; Ascomycota; Pezizomycetes; Pezizales; Tuberaceae.
GGAAGAACCAACAGGGAUUGCCCUAGUAACGGCGAGUGAAGCGGCAAAAGCUCAAAUUUGAAAUCUGGCACCUCUGGUGUCCGAGUUGUAAUUUGGAGAGGCAUCUUCCGGAGGGGUCCAGCCUAUGUUCCUUGGAACAGGACAUCACAGAGGGUGAGAAUCCCGUUCAUGGCUGGAUGUACCCUUCAUCAGGUAGUGCCUUCUACGAGUCGAGUUGUUUGGGAAUGCAGCUCAAAAUGGGUGGUAAAUUUCAUCUAAAGCUAAAUAUUGGCGAGAGACCGAUAGCGCACAAGUAGAGUGAUCGAAAGAUGAAAAGCACUUUGAAAAUAGAGUCAAACAGUACGUGAAAUUGUUGAAAGGGAAGCGCUUGAGACCAGACUCAGCCUUGGGCAAACAACUGUCCUUCUGGAUGGUGCACUUGCCCUUGGCUGGGCCAGCAUCAGUUAGGACGGUGGAAUAAAGGCCUGGGGAAUGUGACUCCACUUAGGAGUGUUAUAGCCUCAGGUGCCAUCCCGCCUGGCCUGACUGUGGACCGCGCUUCGGCUAGGAUGCUGGCGUAAUGGUCUUUAGCGGCCCGUCUUGAAACACGGACCAAGGAGUCUAACAUCUAUGCAAGUGUUUGGGCUACAGACCCUCACGCGUAAUAAAAGUGAACGGAGGUGGGAACCCUAUACGGGGUGCACCAUCGACCGAUCCUGAUGUCUUCGGAUGGAUUUGAGUAGGAGCAUAGCUGUUGGGACCCGAAAGAUGGUGAACUAUGCCUGAAUAGGGUGAAGCCAGAGGAAACUCUGGUGGAGGCUCGCAGCGGUUCUGACGUGCAAAUCGAUCGUCAAAUUUGGGUAUAGGGGCGAAAGACUAAUCGAACCAUCUAGUAGCUGGUCCUGCGAG